CUUCUUUGCAAAAACAAACCUUCAAUUCGAUUUACCCAGCUGUCACUCUUUCUUUUGCAAACAGCCUUUUUCGUGUUGAAUUAGUUCUUCUUCUCCGUUCUAAAUCUUUCCUUCUCUUGCCAGUUCUUCACGUGAUUCUUCAAAGAUAAUCGAUCAAUAUUCGUUCGGUUUUAUUUCUGAUGAGAUGGAAGAUACAGAGCGCACCCCUGCGGUUAAUACAACCUCUCCGGAUUUGCUGAAGAACACUCCUUCCAACAUCGCCAGGUUAGAAGACGUAAUCGAGCAAUGCCGUGGCAGGCAAAAGUAUCUCGCUCAGACCACAAGUCCUUCAGAUGGGAGUGAUGUUCGUUGGUACUUCUGUAAGGUUUCUUUGGCUGAACACGAGUUAGCUGCUUCAGUACCUGGCACUGAUGUAGUAGGAAAGAGUGAGUAUUUCCGUUUUGGGAUGAGGGAUUCUCUUGCCAUUGAGGCUUCUUUCCUCCAGAGAGAGGAUGAGUUACUUUCACUCUGGUGGAAAGAGUAUGCAGAAUGCAGUCAAGGCCCUAUUCCACAACUUAAUCCUAAAAGUAAAUCGAACAAGCACUCUACUGAAACUCUCUCAGAAGCUUCUGUGUCCUCUAGUCUAUAUGCACUCGAAGAGGAGAGGGUUGGUGUACCUGUUAAGGGUGGGCUAUAUGAGGUGGACUUGGUAAGGAGGCAUUGCUUUCCCGUGUACUGGAAUGGAGAUAACCGGCGCGUGCUUAGAGGCCACUGGUUUGCUCGUAAAGGUGGCCUAGACUGGCUUCCAAUUCCAGAAACUGUUGCUGAACAGUUGGAGAUUUCUUAUCUUAACAAGGUUUGGCAUAGAAGAAGGUUCCAACCCUCUGGGUUGUUUGCAGCUCGUGUCGAUUUGCAGGGUUCCAGUCUGGGACUUCAUGCUCUCUUUACUGGGGAGGAUAAUACAUGGGAAGCUUGGCUUAAUGUGGAUCCCUCUGGGCUCUCUGGCAUUGUUGGCUAUACUGGCAAUGGAAUUAAGUUGAGACGCGGUUAUGCAGGCUCCUACUCUCCUAAACCUACACAGGAAGAAGUACGCCAACAAAAGGAGGAAGAAAUGGAUGACUAUUGUUCACAAGUCCCUGUUAGACAUCUUGUAUUCAUGGUUCAUGGUAUUGGCCAAAAAGGUGAAAAGUCUAAUCUUGUUGACGACGUUGGAAACUUUCGCCAAAUCACAGCAGGUUUAGGGGAACGUCAUCUAACCUCUCAUCAGCUCGGCACUCAAAGAGUCCUUUUCAUCCCAUGCCAGUGGAGGAAGGGUUUAAAGCUAAGUGGUGAAGCUGCUGUUGAUAAAUGUACUUUAGACGGUGUACGGCGUUUGCGAGAGAUGCUGAGCGCAACUGUUCAUGAUGUGUUAUACUACAUGAGCCCCAUUUAUUGUCAGGCUAUUAUUGAUUCGGUCUCAAACCAGCUCAAUAAACUGUAUCUGAAAUUUAUAAAGAGAAACCCGGACUAUGAUGGAAAGAUUUCCAUAUAUGGACAUUCUCUGGGGAGUGUUCUCUCCUAUGACAUCUUAUGUCAUCAGCACAAUUUGUCAUCCCCAUUUCCAAUGGAUGCAGUAUACAAGAAAUUCUUUCCAGAUGAAGAAUCUCCUCCAAUUCAAGCUAGCGCUGAUGAACCUUGUAGUUCGCAUCAAUCAUCAAAAAUUGAGCCAGAGAAAUCUAACCAGUUGAAUAACACCGAGGAAAUCACAGGUGAAGAUAAUGACAUGAUGGAUAAAAAAACAACGUUGUUGGAGCAUCAAGAUGUCAUUCAAGAAGGUCCUUCGUUGGUCUCUGAUUCUGUAGUGGACAUCGUUAGUGCUGCUAUUUCCUCACAGGAUGGACCAGAUGGAGCUGACUGUAGAACGUAUGAUUCUUCUUCUUUUCCAGGACAAUCAUGGGAGAAAAAAUGUGAAAAUUCUAAAAACGAGGAGAUGAUCAAGUUAUUGCAGGAAGAGGUUAAAUCAUUGAGGUCAAAAGUAGCGCAACUGCAAUCAGAAAAUGCCAGAAUAACCGAUGAAAAAACCAAGACAUCUAUGAUACCUGAGAAGGCGCCAACUAAAGAUGCCACUGCACCUUCUAGCUUUACUCCUUAUAUCAAAUACCGAAAGCUGGAGUUCAAGGUUGACACUUUCUUUGCAGUUGGCUCUCCUCUUGGAGUCUUCCUUGCCCUUCGAAAUAUACGUCUUGGGAUAGGUAAGGGAAAAGAUUACUGGGAAGAGGGAAAUGUUAUUGAAGAGAUGCCAGCUUGUCGUCGAAUGUUCAACAUUUUUCACCCCUAUGAUCCUGUUGCGUAUAGAGUGGAGCCACUUGUCUGCAAAGAGUACCUUCCCAAACGACCUGUUCUUGUUCCUUACCACAGAGGUGGCAAGCGGUUGCAUAUUGGAUUACAGGAUUUCAAAGAGGAUUUUGCGGAGCGUUCACAGAGAUUAAUGAAUCAUUUUGUUUCAGCAAGGACAAGAGUUCUCACUAUUUGCCAAUCCAAAAGCUCGGAUGAACUAGAAGAGACUGAAGAAACCGAUGACGAAAAGGAUGGAAGGUCCUAUGGUUCCUUAAUGAUGGAAAGGUUGACUGGAACUCGAGAUGGUCGAAUAGAUCACAUGCUACAGGAAAAAACUUUUAAGCAUCCGUAUCUACAAGCUAUAGGAGCUCAUACAAACUAUUGGAGAGAUAAUGAUACUGCUCUGUUCAUAAUCAAACACUUAUAUCGUGAGUUACCAGACGAACCAAACUCGCCCAUGGAAUCCAGAGAAGGAGAUGAUAGUCCAAAAGACUCAAGUAGACCUCAUAGCUGGAUAGACAGAGGAGAGACUGAUGAUGCUGAUGAAGAGCUUCCUUUAACAUUCUCCAAUAAAGAAAUCGCAAGAAGCUUCUCUGCAGAAGCCAAGAAAUAUCUGAAGAAGCCUUAAACACUUUUGACCAUAGGUUUAAAUAUCUGAAGUCCAGCAAAAUAGCUCCCUGAUUUUGUUUUUGUUUACCGUGCAUAAGUAACAUGUGAUGCAGGAAAUGUGAAAAAAAGAAUACUCAAGACUAUUGGUUUGUCUCAUUGUAACUAUAAUUUUACAGAUAAUAAAGAGAGCUUCUUCCUUUGGGCAUAUUGUUUUGCUGUUAGCUGUGUUCAUUUUUUCAGGUCCGUGGUUGGAAGAUUUUAGCAGACAUUGGCUUAAAAAACCGAGUUAAGACUCUAAAGCUGCUCCGAGUUCAGGCCACACAAUAGCAGAGACCGACCACGAGCCAUCAUUACAGGCGCUAGGUUGCCAGUUCCAAGUAAGGGAGCGCCCAGUCCAAAAUCCAGUUCAGUCGUCCUGAAGACAAGAUCAAAGCGGGUCCUUGUCCGAGAAAUACCCGAGCUAACAUCAGUCCAGAUUUUCGUCGGUGGUUUCACCUACAGCUACAGACAAGACGUUGCCAAUGUAGCUCGAGG
This is an RNA transcript of Brassica oleracea var. oleracea, 3438 nucleotides long. It is a transcript of the gene named phospholipase SGR2-like, with no coding region annotated. The record is from RefSeq and is a predicted model, not a curated record. Lineage: Eukaryota; Viridiplantae; Streptophyta; Magnoliopsida; Brassicales; Brassicaceae. The transcript is spliced from 23 exons.